GAUGAACGCUGGCGGCGUGCCUAAUACAUGCAAGUCGAGCGAACAGACGAGGAGCUUGCUCCUCUGACGUUAGCGGCGGACGGGUGAGUAACACGUGGAUAACCUACCUAUAAGACUGGGAUAACUUCGGGAAACCGGAGCUAAUACCGGAUAAUAUAUUGAUCCGCAUGGUUCAAUAGUGAAAGACGGUUUUGCUGUCACUUAUAGAUGGAUCCGCGCCGCAUUAGCUAGUUGGUAAGGUAACGGCUUACCAAGGCAACGAUGCGUAGCCGACCUGAGAGGGUGAUCGGCCACACUGGAACUGAGACACGGUCCAGACUCCUACGGGAGGCAGCAGUAGGGAAUCUUCCGCAAUGGGCGAAAGCCUGACGGAGCAACGCAGCGUGAGUGAUGAAGGUCUUCGGAUCGUAAAACUCUGUUAUUAGGGAAGAACAAAUGUGUAAGUAACUAUGCACGUCUUGACGGUACCUAAUCAGAAAGCCACGGCUAACUACGUG
RNAcentral lists this ribosomal RNA (497 nucleotides) under uncultured bacterium. Its description in RNAcentral is "partial 16S ribosomal RNA". It matches the Rfam family "Bacterial small subunit ribosomal RNA", at positions 28 to 507 of the family's 1533-position model. The record is from RNAcentral.